AUUGAACGCUGGCGGCAGGCCUAACACAUGCAAGUCGAGCGGAAACGACACUAACAAUCCUUCGGGUGCGUUAAUGGGCGUCGAGCGGCGGACGGGUGAGUAAUGCCUAGGAAAUUGCCUUGAUGUGGGGGAUAACCAUUGGAAACGAUGGCUAAUACCGCAUAAUGCCUACGGGCCAAAGAGGGGGACCCUCGGGCCUCUCGCGUCAAGAUAUGCCUAGGUGGGAUUAGCUAGUUGGUGAGGUAAUGGCUCACCAAGGCAACGAUCCCUAGCUGGUCUGAGAGGAUGAUCAGCCACACUGGAACUGAGACACGGUCCAGACUCCUACGGGAGGCAGCAGUGGGGAAUAUUGCACAAUGGGCGAAAGCCUGAUGCAGCCAUGCCGCGUGUAUGAAGAAGGCCUUCGGGUUGUAAAGUACUUUCAGUUGUGAGGAAGGGUGUGUAGUUAAUAGCUGCGCAUCUUGACGUUAGCAACAGAAGAAGCACCGGCUAACUCCGUGCCAGCAGCCGCGGUAAUACGGAGGGUGCGAGCGUUAAUCGGAAUUACUGGGCGUAAAGCGCAUGCAGGUGGUUCAUUAAGUCAGAUGUGAAAGCCCGGGGCUCAACCUCGGAACUGCAUUUGAAACUGGUGAACUAGAGUGCUGUA
This 646-nucleotide ribosomal RNA is filed under the name uncultured Vibrionaceae bacterium. RNAcentral describes it as "bacterial SSU rRNA". It matches the Rfam family "Bacterial small subunit ribosomal RNA", at positions 28 to 653 of the family's 1533-position model. The record is from RNAcentral. Lineage: Bacteria; Pseudomonadati; Pseudomonadota; Gammaproteobacteria; Vibrionales; Vibrionaceae.